RNAcentral lists this ribosomal RNA (516 nucleotides) under uncultured bacterium. Its description in RNAcentral is "partial 16S ribosomal RNA". The record is from RNAcentral.
ACGGCUACCUUGUUACGACUUCACCCCAGUCAUCAAUCCUGCCUUCGGCAGCGCCCCCCUUGCGGUUAGGCUACUGACUUCGGGCAUUACCGACUUCCAUGGUGUGACGGGCGGUGUGUACAAGGCCCGGGAACGUAUUCACCGCGGCAUGCUGAUCCGCGAUUACUAGCAAUUCCAACUUCACGCAGGCGGGUUGCAGCCUGCGAUCCGAACUGGGACCAUUUUUAGGGUUUUGCUCUGCCUCGCGGCUUUGCUUCCCUCUGUUAAUGGCCAUUGUAGUACGUGUGAGGCCCAGGUCAUAAGGGGCAUGAUGAUUUGACAUCAUCCCCACCUUCCUCCGUUUUGUCAACGGCGGUCCUGCUAGAGUGCUCUUGCGUAGCAACUAACAGUAAGGGUUGCGCUCGUUGCGGGACUUAACCCAACAUCUCACGACACGAGCUGACGACAACCAUGCACCACCUGUCUCCGCUUUCCCCGAAAGGCACCUAACGUAUCUCUACCUCGUUAGCGGGAUGU